GCAUCUGUGCAUGCAGCAUAUCAAUAAGCGGAGGAAAAGGGGGCUAUUACCUACGCUUAGGAUGUUGACACACGCGCGUGCUCGACUCUAUACAUGACUCUGUGCAUAUCAAUAAGCGGAGGAAAAGAAACUAACAAGGAUUCCCCUAGUAACGGCGAGUGAAGCGGGAAGAGCUCAAAUUUGAAAUCUUAAAGGGUUUCCCUUUACGAAUUGUAGUUUAAAGAAGUGUUUUCUGUUGAGGUUUUGGUAAAAGUUCUUUGGAAUAGGACAUCAUAGAGGGUGAGAAUCCCGUAUUUGACCUUUACUUUCAACUUUGUGAUACACUUUCAAAGAGUCGGAUUGUUUGGGAAUGCAGUCCAAAAUGGGUGGUAAAUUUCAUCUAAAGCUAAAUAUUGGCGAGAGACCGAUAGCGAACAAGUACCGUGAGGGAAAGAUGAAAAGAACUUUGAAAAGAGAGUUAAACAGUACGUGAAAUUGUCAAAAGGGAAGCGUUUGACACCAGUGUUGUUUUUCUGAAAAUCAAUUAAAGAACUGUUUAUGCUAAGUUGUUUAGACUUUAUCAGCUAACUGUUUAGUUUUGAGCUUUUCUUUAAUGCACUUUUCAGCUAACAAGUCAACAUCAAUUUCUUUUGCUGUAAAAAAGGCUUGAGGAAGGUGGCUUGAGAUUCGUCUUAAGUGUUUAUAGCCUCUUGCCUAUGCAGUCGGAGAGAUUGAGGUCUGCAGCGUAGAUCCUUCGGGGCUAAAUGCAUUUGUGCUAAGUUAUAGCAUUUUAUAGACAACUUGUUGACUAUGAUUUGUCUUGUAGCUUACUCGCUUAUGUUAUUUUACCUACGCUUAGGAUGUUGAACGCGCACAGAGUCUC
Molecule: ribosomal RNA, 862 nt
Filed under: uncultured Neocallimastigales
Lineage: Eukaryota; Fungi; Neocallimastigomycota; Neocallimastigomycetes; Neocallimastigales
Description: partial large subunit ribosomal RNA
Rfam family: Eukaryotic large subunit ribosomal RNA
Source: RNAcentral